Homo sapiens (human) is the source of this 103-nucleotide unclassified non-coding RNA. It matches the Rfam family "Y RNA". From Rfam's summary of the family: Y RNAs are components of the Ro ribonucleoprotein particle (Ro RNP), in association with Ro60 and La proteins. The Y RNAs and Ro60 and La proteins are well conserved, but the function of the Ro RNP is not known. NCBI's taxonomy places the organism in Eukaryota, Metazoa, Chordata, Mammalia, Primates, Hominidae. The record is from Ensembl.
GGCUGGUCCAAGUGCAAUGGUGUUUGCAACUAAGUGAUUACAAACAGUUGUGGAUCUCUUUGUUUCUUCUCCACUCCCACUGCUUUAUUUGACUAAGUUUAAA